AAACUAGAGGUGGUCUGGGAAUCCAGACCAGGACAGAACAACCAAUAAACAAUAAAUCACUAUGAAAGCUCUUGCAGUCCUGGCUAAAGCAUCCGCCAUCUUGUUUUGGGCUCUUGGUAUGUGGAAGAUCUUGAAGUCCUGGUAGCGUCCUUUUAUAGGUUUGAAUUCCGCAAGUGCCGUGGAGAAGGUUGGCCACGUGCUUGGGUCCUUUAUCAUUGAAAUUACAUCCUUGCAGUCAGUUCCAAAGGAGUGGCAUGAAGUAUGUUGGGACAUGUUCUCCAUCUCCCAUAUGAGCGCAUCCAAUUCCGGGUGUAAUGGAGACCGUCGUCUCACAUUAUUUCUCAACCCUAAGAGUUGAUAUUUUCCAGUUUCAUCCAGUCACACCCAUCCCUAGCCACUGUAGUAUGACUCUGCCGACCAAGACCCAUCUACGAGGCAUAUACUUCGUAAGCGUAAGGCUCGCAUUCCCCAGUUUUGUUCUGGUGCAGGCACGUCUUUUACCGUCAUAGAGUUCGCCUCAAACCAAGCAUUACAUUCACUAUGGGCGUGUCUAAUUAGUUCCAUCGGAUCACGUGUUAAUCCUCUGAAUAACUUAUCAUUUCGUGCCUUCCAUAAGUACCAAAUUAUCCAUGUAUAUGGGUCUCUGUCUAAC
Molecule: long non-coding RNA, 652 nt
Filed under: Brassica napus (rape)
Lineage: Eukaryota; Viridiplantae; Streptophyta; Magnoliopsida; Brassicales; Brassicaceae
Description: long non-coding RNA (BNAP_LNC019667)
Source: RNAcentral